GAUGAACGCUGGCGGCGUGCCUAAUACAUGCAAGUCGAGCGAACAGACGAGGAGCUUGCUCCUCUGACGUUAGCGGCGGACGGGUGAGUAACACGUGGAUAACCUACCUAUAAGACUGGGAUAACUUCGGGAAACCGGAGCUAAUACCGGAUAACAUGUUGAACCGCAUGGUUCAACAGUGAAAGACGGUCUUGCUGUCACUUAUAGAUGGAUCCGCGCCGCAUUAGCUAGUUGGUAAGGUAACGGCUUACCAAGGCAACGAUGCGUAGCCGACCUGAGAGGGUGAUCGGCCACACUGGAACUGAGACACGGUCCAGACUCCUACGGGAGGCAGCAGUAGGGAAUCUUCCGCAAUGGGCGAAAGCCUGACGGAGCAACGCCGCGUGAGUGAAGAAGUUCUUCGGAUCGUAAAACUCUGUUAUUAGGGAAGAACAAAUGUGUAAGUAACUAUGCACGUCUUGACGGUACCUAAUCAGAAAGCCACGGCUAACUACGUG
RNAcentral lists this ribosomal RNA (497 nucleotides) under uncultured bacterium. Its description in RNAcentral is "partial 16S ribosomal RNA". It matches the Rfam family "Bacterial small subunit ribosomal RNA", at positions 28 to 507 of the family's 1533-position model. The record is from RNAcentral.